RNAcentral lists this ribosomal RNA (497 nucleotides) under uncultured bacterium. RNAcentral describes it as "partial 16S ribosomal RNA". It matches the Rfam family "Bacterial small subunit ribosomal RNA", at positions 28 to 507 of the family's 1533-position model. The record is from RNAcentral.
GAUGAACGCUGGCGGCGUGCCUAAUACAUGCAAGUCGAGCGAACAGACGAGGAGCUUGCUCCUCUGACGUUAGCGGCGGACGGGUGAGUAACACGUGGAUAACCUACCUAUAAGACUGGGAUAACUUCGGGAAACCGGAGCUAAUACCGGAUAAUAUAUUGAACCGCAUGGUUCAAUAGUGAAAGACGGUUUUGCUGUCACUUAUAGAUGGAUCCGCGCCGCAUUAGCUAGUUGGUAAGGUAACGGCUUACCAAGGCAACGAUGCGUAGCCGACCUGAGAGGGUGAUCGGCCACACUGGAACUGAGACACGGUCCAGACUCCUACGGGAGGCAGCAGUAGGGAAUCUUCCGCAAUGGGCGAAAGCCUGACGGAGCAACGCCGCGUGAGUGAUGAAGGUCUUCGGAUCGUAAAUCUCUGUUAUUAGGGAAGAACAAAUGUGUAAGUAACUAUGCACGUCUUGACGGUACCUAAUCAGAAAGCCACGGCUAACUACGUG